Molecule: long non-coding RNA, 616 nt
Filed under: Hordeum vulgare
Lineage: Eukaryota; Viridiplantae; Streptophyta; Magnoliopsida; Poales; Poaceae
Description: long non-coding RNA (HVUL_LNC017190)
Source: RNAcentral
AGCAUAGUAUGCAAAUUUGAAGUAGUUUUCUCCUUAGUCUUAACCAUGGCAGUCAUUAAGAGCAAUCACACUGAUGACAUGGGUUGUUCAAUCUGCAUUGUUAUUAUGAUCAUGUCUUCCACUUUGAUCUUACCAACUUCUUGCUAUGAACGUACGUAUCUCCAAACAUCCUUUAAUAUAUUUUUUCUUACAUAAUGCAUUAAUUUUGCUAAAAUAGACCUUACCGGACAUUUGAAAUAAAUAUCUUUGCAUUGCCUCAAUGUUUAGUUGAUCGUCAAGAGAAGUGCAUGCCUACUUCAACUUGCCGUUGGAAUGUCUGCAAGACCAUGUGCAGAUACACGGGCAACCCUUGGCUCGGGGCCUACUGCAAAACCGAACCGGACGAUGUGAAAUUGUGUUGUUGUGUUUAUUCCUGAAUCUCUAGCGAUGCUAGUUGUUAUUUGCGGCAUUAAUAUUGCCGUUUCUUGUAUCCAGCCGCUUGGAAUGCAGUCCCAAUAAAAAUGGUUUAUAGCGACUAUAUAUCGAACUUUUUAUUAUUAUGAACAACAUCAUCAAUGUAUGAUCGAUAUCGUGUGCUCGUAUCUAGCUAGUGGUUCAUCUUUACGUCAUAAACCGG